CAGCACCUCAAGUGGUCAGGAUGAUUAUUGGGCCUAAAGCAUCCGUAGCCUGCUUUGUAAGUUUUCGGUUAAAUCCAUACGCUCAACGUAUGGGCUGCCGGGAAUACUGCAAAGCUAGGGAGUGGGAGAGGUAGACGGUACUCGGUAGGAAGGGGUAAAAUCCUUUGAUCUAUUGAUGACCACCUGUGACGAAGGCGGUCUACCAGAACACGUCCGACGGUGAGGGAUGAAAGCUGGGGGAGCAAACCGGAUUAGAUACCCGAGUAGUCC
Molecule: ribosomal RNA, 270 nt
Filed under: uncultured archaeon
Lineage: Archaea
Description: partial 16S ribosomal RNA
Rfam family: Archaeal small subunit ribosomal RNA
Source: RNAcentral